GCCCAGGUGGCGGAAUUGGUAGACGCGCUGGUCUCAAACACCAGUGAGAUAACACUCGUGCCGGUUCGAUCCCGGCCCUGGGUA
This 84-nucleotide transfer RNA is filed under the name Bacteroidales bacterium. RNAcentral describes it as "tRNA-Leu". It matches the Rfam family "tRNA". Rfam says of the family: Transfer RNA (tRNA) molecules are approximately 80 nucleotides in length. Their secondary structure includes four short double-helical elements and three loops (D, anti-codon, and T loops). Lineage: Bacteria; Pseudomonadati; Bacteroidota; Bacteroidia; Bacteroidales. The record is from RNAcentral.